GUCAAGAUUCUCGAGCGGUCUAAGGCGCUGCGUUCAGGUCGCAGUUCGCUUGUGUGGGUUCGAAUCCCACUUCUGACA
Trichonephila clavipes is the source of this 78-nucleotide non-coding RNA. NCBI's taxonomy places the organism in Eukaryota, Metazoa, Arthropoda, Arachnida, Araneae, Nephilidae. The record is from the annotation of a GenBank genome assembly.